RNAcentral lists this ribosomal RNA (443 nucleotides) under uncultured Caulobacteraceae bacterium. RNAcentral describes it as "bacterial SSU rRNA". It matches the Rfam family "Bacterial small subunit ribosomal RNA", at positions 336 to 796 of the family's 1533-position model. Lineage: Bacteria; Pseudomonadati; Pseudomonadota; Alphaproteobacteria; Caulobacterales; Caulobacteraceae. The record is from RNAcentral.
UUCCUACGGGGGGCUGCAGUGGGGAAUCUUGCGCAAUGGGCGAAAGCCUGACGCAGCCAUGCCGCGUGGAUGAUGAAGGUCUUAGGAUUGUAAAAUCCUUUCAGCGGGGACGAUAAUGACGGUACCCGCAGAAGAAGCCCCGGCUAACUUCGUGCCAGCAGCCGCGGUAAUACGAAGGGGGCUAGCGUUGCUCGGAUUUACUGGGCGUAAAGGGCGCGUAGGCGGACAGUUAAGUCGGGGGUGAAAGCCCGGGGCUCAACCCCGGAAGUGCCUUCGAUACUGGCGGUCUUGAGUACGGGAGAGGUGUGUGGAACUCCGAGUGUAGAGGUGAAAUUCGUAGAUAUUCGGAAGAACACCAGUGGCGAAGGCGACACACUGGCCCGUUACUGACGCUGAGGCGCGAAAGCGUGGGGAGCAAACAGGAUUAGAUACCCUGGUAGUCA